UUAAUUGAAGCCAAAAUAGAGGCCUAUUACUGUUAAUAAUAAAAUUGAAUUUACUCCUCCAAUUAAA
Molecule: transfer RNA, 67 nt
Filed under: Anisocentropus maculatus
Lineage: Eukaryota; Metazoa; Arthropoda; Insecta; Trichoptera; Calamoceratidae
Description: tRNA-Asn
Source: RNAcentral